Molecule: RNase P RNA, 625 nt
Filed under: Acidobacteria bacterium 13_1_40CM_3_55_6
Lineage: Bacteria; Pseudomonadati; Acidobacteriota
Description: RNase P RNA component class A
Rfam family: Bacterial RNase P class A
About the family: Ribonuclease P (RNase P) is a ubiquitous endoribonuclease, found in archaea, bacteria and eukarya as well as chloroplasts and mitochondria. Its best characterised activity is the generation of mature 5'-ends of tRNAs by cleaving the 5'-leader elements of precursor-tRNAs.
Source: RNAcentral
UGAGCAAGUUGGGUGAUCGCUGCUUCGUAGUUUUCAGGUUUCAAAUCUGAGAUCUGAGCGACUCGAAGGAGAGGAAAGUCCGAACACCGUAGGGCAGCGAGCCCGCUAACGGCGGGGCGUUCGAGCGGAAUUCAGAUCUCAGAUUUCAAAUUUGAAAUUUCAGAUUAUGAGUCGCUCGAACGACGACAAGUGCAACAGAAAGCAGACCAGCCGACCGGCUUGGGGUUUUGGGAUUUCAAAUCUGAAAUCUCAAAUUCUCAAGUCGAGGUGAUGGGUGAAAUGGUGCGGCCCGCAAGGGCUUAAUGUAAGAGCGCACCGGCGCGUGUGGUGACAUGCGCGGCCAGGCAAACUCCUCGCGGUGCAAGAUCAAAUAGGGAGGCGUGACAGGGCUGCCCGCCCGAAGCAGUUCGGGAAUCUUGAAUUUGGAAUUUGAGAUUUCAGUAUUGCUACGACCUCCGGGUAGAUCGCUUGAUCCGAUCGGCAACGAUCGGGCUAGAGGAAUGAUCGCCGCUUUGGUCGAUCUCAGAUUUGGAUCUCAGAUCUCGAGUAUGAUCAUUUCAGAUCUCAGAUUUGAGUUCUGAGAUCGACUGGAGAACAGAAUUCGGCUUACAGACUUGCUCUAUUU